UGACGAGUGGCGGACGGGUGAGUAAUGUCUGGGAAACUGCCUGAUGGAGGGGGAUAACUACUGGAAACGGUAGCUAAUACCGCAUAACGUCGCAAGACCAAAGAGGGGGACCUUCGGGCCUCUUGCCAUCGGAUGUGCCCAGAUGGGAUUAGCUUGUUGGUGGGGUAACGGCUCACCAAGGCGACGAUCCCUAGCUGGUCUGAGAGGAUGACCAGCCACACUGGAACUGAGACACGGUCCAGACUCCUACGGGAGGCAGCAGUGGGGAAUAUUGCACAAUGGGCGCAAGCCUGAUGCAGCCAUGCCGCGUGUAUGAAGAAGGCCUUCGGGUUGUAAAGUACUUUCAGCGGGGAGGAAGGGAGUAAAGUUAAUACCUUUGCUCAUUGACGUUACCCGCAGAAGAAGCACCGGCUAACUCCGUGCCAGCAGCCGCGGUAAUACGGAGGGUGCAAGCGUUAAUCGGAAUUACUGGGCGUAAAGCGCACGCAGGCGGUUUGUUAAGUCAGAUGUGAAAUCCCCGGGCUCAACCUGGGAACUGCAUCUGAUACUGGCAAGCUUGAGUCUCGUAGAGGGGGGUAGAAUUCCAGGUGUAGCGGUGAAAUGCGUAGAGAUCUGGAGGAAUACCGGUGGCGAAGGCGGCCCCCUGGACGAAGACUGACGCUCAGGUGCGAAAGCGUGGGGAGCAAACAGGAUUAGAUACCCUGGUAGUCCACGCCGUAAACGAUGUCGACUUGGAGGUUGUGCCCUUGAGGCGUGGCUUCCGGAGCUAACGCGUUAAGUCGACCGCCUGGGGAGUACGGCCGCAAGGUUAAAACUCAAAUGAAUUGACGGGGGCCCGCACAAGCGGUGGAGCAUGUGGUUUAAUUCGAUGCAACGCGAAGAACCUUACCUGGUCUUGACAUCCACGGAAGUUUUCAGAGAUGAGAAUGUGCCUUCGGGAACCGUGAGACAGGUGCUGCAUGGCUGUCGUCAGCUCGUGUUGUGAAAUGUUGGGUUAAGUCCCGCAACGAGCGCAACCCUUAUCCUUUGUUGCCAGCGGUCCGGCCGGGAACUCAAAGGAGACUGCCAGUGAUAAACUGGAGGAAGGUGGGGAUGACGUCAAGUCAUCAUGGCCCUUACGACCAGGGCUACACACGUGCUACAAUGGCGCAUACAAAGAGAAGCGACCUCGCGAGAGCAAGCGGACCUCAUAAAGUGCGUCGUAGUCCGGAUUGGAGUCUGCAACUCGACUCCAUGAAGUCGGAAUCGCUAGUAAUCGUGGAUCAGAAUGCCACGGUGAAUACGUUCCCGGGCCUUGUACACACCGCCCGUCACACCAUGGGAGUGGGUUGCAAAAGAAGUAGGUAGCUUAACCUUCGGGAGGGCGCUUACCACUUUGUGAUUCAUGACUGGGGUGAAGUCGUAACAAGGUAACCGUAGGGGAACCUGCGGUUGGAUCACCUCCUU
RNAcentral lists this ribosomal RNA (1446 nucleotides) under Escherichia coli. Its description in RNAcentral is "bacterial SSU rRNA". It matches the Rfam family "Bacterial small subunit ribosomal RNA". The record is from RNAcentral. Lineage: Bacteria; Pseudomonadati; Pseudomonadota; Gammaproteobacteria; Enterobacterales; Enterobacteriaceae.